CUCUGGUUCAUGAAGACUUGCUUGCAGAGGUCUCCAACAUCCUCAUCUCCAGCAUCUCUUCAAAUAAAAGAGCCAAUAUAACAUGAUGAAUACUUGUUUCCUUGUUGUAAACAUCAAUGCCUCAGGGAGUGAAACCCAGAAAUCAAAUAGAAUUUGAUGUUCAUCUUUUCAUUUAUCAGGGGAAAGGUCUACAAAGAUCAGAAGAGGAUUUAGUUGAGAAAGAAUGGAAGACAAGAGGAAAUGUGAAGAGGAAAAGUGAAAAGAAU
Odocoileus virginianus texanus is the source of this 266-nucleotide long non-coding RNA. RefSeq lists it as uncharacterized. The record is from RefSeq and is a predicted model, not a curated record. Lineage: Eukaryota; Metazoa; Chordata; Mammalia; Artiodactyla; Cervidae.